This 1061-nucleotide long non-coding RNA is filed under the name Apteryx haastii (Great spotted kiwi). Its description in RNAcentral is "lncRNA (ENSAHAG00000011279.1)". Lineage: Eukaryota; Metazoa; Chordata; Aves; Apterygiformes; Apterygidae. The record is from RNAcentral.
AUGAGGCGGAGGUGCCCGCUGCCUCCAGGCUCCCCCGUAUGCUGCCAGCCUCUCUCAAAGGCCCAAUGUUUCCCACUCCUCGCUGUGUCACCGCUGGUGACAGCCAUGGCUGUGACACUGCAGUGCAGCAAGGGACUGGCGUGGGGUACGGCAAACCCUGUGCACCCACCAUGGGGGGGGGGGGCGAUUGGCGCUGCAGCCAGGGGCAGCAGGAGGGCCAGCCCGGGCCGCCCCAGGGCGAGGACGGGGGGACCCUUCCGCUUCUUCGGCUCCGUAGCUGGAAGGGGCAGCGGUCAAGGCCGGCGGCUCCAAGAAGCGAAAGGGAACAAGCUGACUAACGAGGGAGCUACUGGCGAACGUGGCGCGGGGGCUCGGCGUGGAGAAGCCAUGCAGCCCCGCUCGGCGAGCCCCAUGCAAAGGCCGGCGCGGGGCGUUAGUGAGGGACGCGGCGCGGCGGCGGAGGCCGCGCGGCAGCCGGGGGUUAGCUUUCGGGGGUGCCAGCGAGGGGGGGGGUGGCCGGGAACUACAGCGCUUACCCUGAAAAUCCCCCUCACACCUAUCCAACAUUGCAUCAUCACACAGCUGCAAGGACACAAUAACAGGAUUGGGAGAAAGAAAGAAAAAAAGGGGAAGAGAAAAACCAAAAAAACAAACAGCAACAAAGGAGGUGAGAACAGAACGCGAGCGCYGCCCGAGUGCCAUGGUGCCGGCAGCCCGCGGGGCCGGUCGGCCGCCCCGCCGCCUUCGCAGGGACGGCGCUCCCCACAGCCCCCCAAGCCUUGGGGUGCCGGCCGGGCACGGCGGCACCUCCGGGCGGGCUUCCCAUGCCGGCAGCACGCGGGGAUGGGGCUGGGGGCUCCUCCGCUAUGGCGGGCCGGAUGAGGAGAGAGACUCGGGCGAAGCCCYGGGCCGCAGACCCGGAGGCGACUGGGUGUCCCUCAACCCAGCGAAGCUCCUGGAGGAAGCCGAGAGAGGCCCACGGGGCUCCCCACAYGGCGCCAGGAGGGCAGGAGGCCCCAGCGAGCGGCUUUCCGGGGGCCCCCGCGACGCCCGUGCCCGGG